Molecule: ribosomal RNA, 1989 nt
Filed under: Staphylococcus equorum
Lineage: Bacteria; Bacillati; Bacillota; Bacilli; Caryophanales; Staphylococcaceae
Description: partial 23S ribosomal RNA
Rfam family: Bacterial large subunit ribosomal RNA
Source: RNAcentral
UACAAAGGGACUAUUAUGGAUAUUUAAGCUAUGUAUAACAGAGAUUUAAUUUAUUAAAAAAAUAUUAACUCUAAGAGAAAUUCUUUAGUAAACGAAGUGAAGUGAAUUAUCUUAGUAACUUCAGGAAAAUAAAUCAAAAGAGAUUCUAUGAGUAGUGUGAAUGAAAAUAGAGGAGCCUAUAGUUAUAAACUAUGCAACAAAGUAAAAUUCAGUUUGAAUAUUACGGGGAACCUUCCUCAAAGGCUAAAUAUUAUACAUAAGCGAUAGAGAACAUAAGUACCGUGAGGGAAAUAAUAAUUUGAAAUAGUAGUUUUAUAAGCAGUUCGAGCAAUUUUAUGAGCAAGAACGUACCUUUUGCAUAAUGGGUCACCAAGUUAACAUUAGAUACAAGUUUUAGCGUAGCUAAACCAAUUAUCAAAAAAAUGAGUAGUAUCUAAUGUUAGACCCGAAGCCUGGUGAUCUUACCAUAAUCAGGAUGUAAACAGUCCGAACGGAAUAUCGUAGCAUAGAUAUCCGAAGAAUUAGGGUAAGUUUAGUGAAAGACAAACCUGACCAGGAUAGCUGGUUUUCUGCGAAACCUAUAAAAGUAGGCAAUUCAAACAACAUCUUAGCAGGUACAGAACUUAAUCUCUGACAAGGUGUAAAUAUUUUUAAUAAAAAUACAUUUUAACUUGUAUAUAUCGGGGAAUCGUGAAGAUUUUAUCGGUGAGUAUGUAGACUCGAAAUGGCAAAGAUGAAUGUUGAAUUAUCAGACAUAGAGUGCUAAGGUUGUAUGUCAAAAGGGAAACAGCCCAGAACAAGAUUUAAGGUUCCAAAAUUAUUAGUUAAGUGAAAUUAAGAAGGUUUUUAAUUGAGUCGACAAGAAGAUGGGCUUAGAAGCAGCCAUAAUUUUAUGAAUUCGUAACAGAGCGCUUGUUAAUUUUUAGAGGCAUCGAAAAUUUAACGGAUCUAAACAAUAUACCGACAUCUUGUCCAUUUUUAAUAGUGAUGAUAUCAUCACUGUUAUAUUAUGGGGUAGCAGAACGUUGAGUUUAUAUUAGAUUUAUCUUUUUUAAAGAUAAAUAUAGUGAGAUAACUCAAGUGAGAAUGGUGACAUAAGUAACUAAAAGAAGAAGAGUAAUAGUCUAAAAAUUAGGCUAUUAUGUAAUUCUCCGCCUUAAGCUUAUGGAUUUUUAAGUAACGGCCUCUAAAUUAAAAAUCUAAAGAUUUUGAUGAUGAGAAAAUCUUUAUUACUAAACAACAUUUAAAGUGUUAAAUGUGCUGGAAAAAGAGUAAUAUUAAAAACCGUACCUAGAAACUGAAAAAAGUAAGCUAGUAGAGUAUACGAAGGCGUAUAAUGAGCUAACAAUCAUAAAGGAACUCGGCAAAUUGACUACGUAACUUCGGAAUAAGGAGGUCUCAUUAGUCUUGAUUAAUAUCAGGUAAAAAGGAAGAAGCAUGAAAUAGUGUUGUACGACUGUUUAAUUAAAACACAGCACUUUGCUCAAAGAUUAAAAAUCUAAGUAUUGAGUGUGAUGUCUGCCCAAUCCCGGCUGGUUAACAGAUAUAACUAAAUUUUUUAAGAGAGUUUGGUGUUGACGGAACCCCCGGUCAAUGGCGGCCUUAACGUGAGGGUCCUAAGGUAGCGAAAUGCCUUGGCCGUUAAAUGCGGUCUUGCAUGAAUGAUUUAACGAUACAACAGCUGUCUCUAUGAUUGACUCAGUGAACUUGGAAUAACUGUGAAGAUACAGUUUACCUCUAGUUGGACGAGAAGACCCUAUGCAGCUUUACUGUUACUAAUUAUAGGGUACGGAAUCAAAUAUGUUUAGAUUAUAAGGUAAAUUAGGUAAUACAAAUGGAAAUCCUUUAUAUUUAUUCCGUAUUUAUGAACUAAUUUACUAAUAUUUGGAAACGAAUAUUGGUCAAUUAACCUAGUUCAGCUUUUUUUUUUAAGAAGUAGCCUUAGGUAAGGAACUUAUCGUUAGGAGACAGUUUAUGCGGGGCACAGAC